RNAcentral lists this long non-coding RNA (1414 nucleotides) under Marmota monax (woodchuck). The record is from RNAcentral. Lineage: Eukaryota; Metazoa; Chordata; Mammalia; Rodentia; Sciuridae.
GUCUCUGUGGUGACUACUCAACUCUGCCGUUGAAAUGCAAAAGCAGACAUGAGUGAUAUGUACACAAAUGCUCAUGGCCGUGUUCCAACAAAAGUUUAUUUAUGGACACUGAAGUUUGAUUUCAUAUUUCAAGUAUCACAAACUGUUAUUUUUUUAUUAAAAAACAUUUUUUAAAUGUAAAAACCAUUCUCAGUACACAGGUUGUUCAAGUUCAGGUAGAGGGCUGGAUUUUUAGUUUGCUGAGCCCUGAUCUAUAGGAUUCCAGAUCGUCAGCUUUCAAAUAAUACCCCUUGGUCUAUAUGCUGCAGAGAGUUAUUGUGAAAAUCCAGUGAGCUGGGAAGUCAUUCAAGCCAAGCUUACAUUUUCAGAUGAGGAUACCAAGUCCCAGAGUGAGAACAUGACUUGCUCAAAGUAAUAUAGCUCAUUACUGGUUAGGACUCAAACAGGCCUGCUGAAUUCAAGCAGGGGCUCUACCCUUUUCUAUGUGUAGUUGAUUUGAAAGGAGAGCUAGAAACCAAGCAACAUGGCAUGUGCCUGUAAUCCUAGUUAUUUUGGAGGCUGAGGCAGGAAGAUCAUAAAUUCAGGCCCAACCUGGGCAAUAUCAUGAGACUCUGUCUCAAAAUAAAAAGGGCUGGGGAUAUAGCUCAGUGGAAGAGAGCCUUGGUUCUAUGCCAGUACUGCAAAAACAAAAACAAAGCAAAAAGAGAAGAGCCUAGAGCCUUGUGUACCAUGCCCCCAAGGAAAAGAAGGAAAAGAAAAUUAAAAAGGCAAAUUAACUUUCUUUUGGAUACAUUAAAAAUGGUUAGUUAGGGACAUUUUAAUGUCAAAACUGCUUUGUGCAAGCCAGAAUAUAGUCAGCAGCCUGUCCUGGAAAAAAAUGUAUUGUGGAAAGCAAGACCCAGGGCAUCUCAACACCUGAAAUAAGUCAUUAAAGAUUUUUUAAGUUGUAGAUGACACAAUACCUUUAUUUAUUUAUUUUUAUGUGGUGCUAAGGAUCAAACUCAGUGCCUCACUCGUGCAAGGCAAGUGCUCUGCCACUGAGCCACAACCCUAGCCCUUAAAGCCCUUUUUUACUUAGCAAAAUGAACCUUUGAUUAGAUGUUAUUCUUACAAACAAUUAGUUUGGCUAGAAAUUAUUUAAUUUAUACCUGUUGGUUUUUAUUGAAAUCUCAGAGACUAGGAGUAUAGUUCAGUGAUAGAGCAUUUGCCUAGCAGGUGGGAGGCUCUAAGUUCUAUCCCCAGCACUUCCAAAAAACCAAAAACAAGCCAAAAAAGCAAACUCCUGCUGGACAUGAUGGUGUGUUCCUGUAAUCCCAGCAGCUCAAGAUGCUGAGGCAGGAGGAUCCCAAGUUCAAAGGUAGCCCUAGGAAUUUAGUAAGGCCUGAAGCAACUUGUGAUACCCUGUCUCAAAAAA